Non-coding RNA from Schistosoma curassoni, 46 nucleotides. NCBI's taxonomy places the organism in Eukaryota, Metazoa, Platyhelminthes, Trematoda, Strigeidida, Schistosomatidae. The record is from Rfam.
GCACUGCUGAAGAGUCCCAAACUAGGACGAAACGGCCGUCCAGUGC